This is a long non-coding RNA of Dendronephthya gigantea, 322 nucleotides long. RefSeq lists it as uncharacterized. The transcript has 3 exons. The record is from RefSeq and is a predicted model, not a curated record. Lineage: Eukaryota; Metazoa; Cnidaria; Anthozoa; Malacalcyonacea; Nephtheidae.
AAGAAAAUGAUGAAGUGGAGAAUACUCAACGUUUUCAAGAGGUUGAGAUGGCAACACACGAUGAAUGCAUUGGAUAUUCUCCAAUCCAUGAGUCAUUUGUAUCUGUUGGGGGAAACACUUCAUUGUUUACAGAUGAUGAGGGUGAUGCAUCGGAAGAAAAUUCUGAUGAAAAUAACAGACAACAUGACAUUUCCUAUUCAGCCCUGCAAUAUUUGAAUGCUGACAGGGAUCUAGAAAGUGAUGAUUCAGAGACAAGCAGGUACAGUAUGUAUUCACUGCAAAAAAUCGAAGUCUACUCUAGCAUAGUUUUCUUAUUACUGUA